AUUGAACGCUGGCGGCAGGCCUAACACAUGCAAGUCGAACGGUAACAGGAAACAGCUUGCUGUUUCGCUGACGAGUGGCGGACGGGUGAGUAAUGUCUGGGAAACUGCCUGAUGGAGGGGGAUAACUACUGGAAACGGUAGCUAAUACCGCAUAACGUCGCAAGACCAAAGAGGGGGACCUUCGGGCCUCUUGCCAUCGGAUGUGCCCAGAUGGGAUUAGCUUGUUGGUGGGGUAACGGCUCACCAAGGCGACGAUCCCUAGCUGGUCUGAGAGGAUGACCAGCCACACUGGAACUGAGACACGGUCCAGACUCCUACGGGAGGCAGCAGUGGGGAAUAUUGCACAAUGGGCGCAAGCCUGAUGCAGCCAUGCCGCGUGUAUGAAGAAGGCCUUCGGGUUGUAAAGUACUUUCAGCGGGGAGGAAGGGAGUAAAGUUAAUACCUCUACUCAUUGACGUUACCCGCAGAAGAAGCACCGGCUAACUCCGUGCCAGCCGCCGCCGAUA
RNAcentral lists this ribosomal RNA (506 nucleotides) under uncultured bacterium. RNAcentral's name for it is "partial 16S ribosomal RNA". It matches the Rfam family "Bacterial small subunit ribosomal RNA", at positions 30 to 523 of the family's 1533-position model. The record is from RNAcentral.